GUGAACGCUGGCGGUAGGCCUAACCCCUGCAAGUCGCACGGCAGCACAGUAAGAGCUUGCUCUUACGGGUGGCGAGUGGCGGACGGGUGAGGAAUACAUCGGAAUCUACUUUUUCGUGGGGGAUAACGUAGGGAAACUUACGCUAAUACCGCAUACGACCUACGGGUGAAAGCAGGGGAUCUUCGGACCUUGCGCGAUUGAAUGAGCCGAUGUCGGAUUAGCUAGUUGGCGGGGUAAAGGCCCACCAAGGCGACGAUCCGUAGCUGGUCUGAGAGGAUGAUCAGCCACACUGGAACUGAGACACGGUCCAGACUCCUACGGGAGGCAGCAGUGGGGAAUAUUGGACAAUGGGCGCAAGCCUGAUCCAGCCAUACCGCGUGGGUGAAGAAGGCCUUCGGGUUGUAAAGCCCUUUUGUUGGGAAAGAAAAGCGGCAGGUUAAUACCCCGCUGUUCUGACGGUACCCAAAGAAUAAGCACCGGCUAACUUCGUG
Molecule: ribosomal RNA, 491 nt
Filed under: uncultured bacterium
Lineage: Bacteria
Description: partial 16S ribosomal RNA
Rfam family: Bacterial small subunit ribosomal RNA
Source: RNAcentral